Molecule: non-coding RNA, 30 nt
Filed under: Mus musculus (house mouse)
Lineage: Eukaryota; Metazoa; Chordata; Mammalia; Rodentia; Muridae
Source: RNAcentral
UUCUGCGAAACCCCAUAUUCUUGGGAGGAU